GACGAACGCUGGCGGCGUGCUUAACACAUGCAAGUCGAACGGAAAGGCCUUUUCGGAGGUACUCGAGUGGCGAACGGGUGAGUAACACGUGGGUGAUCUGCCCUGCACUCUGGGAUAAGCCUGGGAAACUGGGUCUAAUACCGGAUAGGACCGCACUUUAGUGUGUGUGGUGGAAAGUUUUUUUCGGUGUAGGAUGAGCCCGCGGCCUAUCAGCUUGUUGGUGGGGUAAUGGCCUACCAAGGCGGCGACGGGUAGCCGGACUGAGAGGUUGGUCGGCCACAUUGGGACUGAGAUACGGCCCAGACCCCUACGGGAGGCAGCAGUGGGGAAUAUUGCACAAUGGGCGCAAGCCUGAUGCAGCGACGCCGCGUGGGGGAUGACGGCCUUCGGGUUGUAAACUCCUUUCGCCAGGGACGAAGCGUUUUGUGACGGUACCGACAGAAGAAGCGACGGCUAAAUACGUGCCAGCAGCCGCGGUAAUACGUAUGUCGCAAGCGUUAUCCGGAUUUAUUGGGCGUAAAGCGCGUCUAGGCGGCAAGGAAAGUCUGAUGUGAAAAUGCGGAGCUCAACUCCGUAUGGCGUUGGAAACUGCCUUACUAGAGUACUGGAGAGGUAGGCGGAACUACAAGUGUAGAGGUGAAAUUCGUAGAUAUUUGUAGGAAUGCCGAUGGGGAAGCCAGCCUACUGGACAGAUACUGACGCUAAAGCGCGAAAGCGUGGGUAGCAAACAGG
Molecule: ribosomal RNA, 732 nt
Filed under: Rothia dentocariosa
Lineage: Bacteria; Bacillati; Actinomycetota; Actinomycetes; Micrococcales; Micrococcaceae
Description: bacterial SSU rRNA
Rfam family: Bacterial small subunit ribosomal RNA
Source: RNAcentral